UACGUAGGGGGCAAGCGUUGUCCGGAAUCAUUGGGCGUAAAGAGCGUGUAGGCGGCCCGAUAAGUCCGCUGUGAAAGUUCAGGGCUCAACCCUGGAAUGCCGGUGGAUACUGUCGGGCUCGAAUCCGGAAGAGGUGAGUGGAAUUCCUGGUGUAGCGGUGAAAUGCGCAGAUAUCGGGAGGAACACCAAUGGCGAAGGCAGCUCGCUGGGACGUUACUGACGCUGAGACGCGAAAGCGUGGGGAGCAAACAGG
This 253-nucleotide ribosomal RNA is filed under the name uncultured bacterium. Its description in RNAcentral is "partial 16S ribosomal RNA". It matches the Rfam family "Bacterial small subunit ribosomal RNA", at positions 524 to 776 of the family's 1533-position model. The record is from RNAcentral.